RNAcentral lists this transfer RNA (99 nucleotides) under Streptosporangium pseudovulgare. RNAcentral describes it as "tRNA-Cys". The record is from RNAcentral. Lineage: Bacteria; Bacillati; Actinomycetota; Actinomycetes; Streptosporangiales; Streptosporangiaceae.
AUGUCCGGGGUUCCGCCCAUCCCGGGGCGGGCCUCCUGCACGUAGGUGGCGCCCGCCGACGGCGUCCUGGGGCCGAGGUUCCACACCUCGCGGACCUCC